UGCCGGCGACCGGCGGACGGGUGCGUAACGCGUAUGUAACCUACCUUUGACAGGGGGAUAACAUCGAGAAAUUGGUACUAAUACCCCAUAACAUCACCGGAGGCAUCUUCGGUGGUUGAAAACUCAGGUGGUCAGAGAUGGACAUGUGUUGUAUUAGCUAGUUGGUGAGGUAACGGCUCACCAAGGCGACGAUACAUAGGGGGACUGAGAGGUCAACCCCCCACAUUGGUACUGAGACACGGACCAAACUCCUACGGAAGGCAGCAG
This 267-nucleotide ribosomal RNA is filed under the name uncultured bacterium. Its description in RNAcentral is "partial 16S ribosomal RNA". It matches the Rfam family "Bacterial small subunit ribosomal RNA", at positions 86 to 354 of the family's 1533-position model. The record is from RNAcentral.